Rhipicephalus sanguineus (brown dog tick) is the source of this 727-nucleotide long non-coding RNA. RefSeq lists it as uncharacterized. NCBI's taxonomy places the organism in Eukaryota, Metazoa, Arthropoda, Arachnida, Ixodida, Ixodidae. The record is from RefSeq and is a predicted model, not a curated record. The transcript has 3 exons.
GAAUUGAAUUCUGCAGACAUGUGAUGCCGACCUCUGGAUGUCAGUCCAUGUUUCCUGGGGUCAUGUCAUGACUCGUGGGUAUGGCGGGGGAGCCCUCUCCGUCAGCACCUGGAAGCAAAACUUCGGCUUGCUUGGAGACUCCAGCUAUACAUUAGAACCGUGACUCCUGACACCAGUGCCCGGACGCCCAGCUCGUGGCACCCCUGAUAACCACUACAACAAGGCCCACACCGCCAUGCGCAAUGUUGUGGAGUGGUGCAACGCUGUAAGCUUGUGCAGAGCUGCACAAGCAUCAUUGCUGCUUGUGCAGCUCUGCACGACAUUGCGUUGGCGGCACAUAAGCCUGUUCUCGAAGGGGACGAUGACGACACAGACGAUGCUGAGCUGCUGCCAGCAGCAGCUGAGCUACCACCACCACCACCACAACGGGAGCCAGCAGCAGCGCAACCGUGUAGUGAACCUGUUUCGAGAACCACCGGGCCUGCAUGCUUGAGCAUCUGCGCAGAGUACGCCGCCGCCUGCAACGACCUCGGCAGCAUUGUGUGGUGGCUUCCGCUGCAAUGAGGGCCCGGGCGAGGGUACCAACGCCUUGCAAUUCGUGGACCACGUCACUGAGAAGUUGAACCUGGCGCAGCUUUCCAAUGAUGCCUGGCCCUGCCGCCUGGUGUUUGCGGCUAGUAACUCCAGCGCCUCGGCCUGCCGGUUGCCCCCAUCUCGCAGCUGCGGC